This 678-nucleotide ribosomal RNA is filed under the name Campylobacter coli. RNAcentral's name for it is "bacterial SSU rRNA". It matches the Rfam family "Bacterial small subunit ribosomal RNA", at positions 852 to 1533 of the family's 1533-position model. The record is from RNAcentral. Lineage: Bacteria; Pseudomonadati; Campylobacterota; Epsilonproteobacteria; Campylobacterales; Campylobacteraceae. RNAcentral also lists the same sequence under 1 other name.
CUAACGCAUUAAGUGUACCGCCUGGGGAGUACGGUCGCAAGAUUAAAACUCAAAGGAAUAGACGGGGACCCGCACAAGCGGUGGAGCAUGUGGUUUAAUUCGAAGAUACGCGAAGAACCUUACCUGGGCUUGAUAUCCUAAGAACCUUUUAGAGAUAAGAGGGUGCUAGCUUGCUAGAACUUAGAGACAGGUGCUGCACGGCUGUCGUCAGCUCGUGUCGUGAGAUGUUGGGUUAAGUCCCGCAACGAGCGCAACCCACGUAUUUAGUUGCUAACGGUUCGGCCGAGCACUCUAAAUAGACUGCCUUCGUAAGGAGGAGGAAGGUGUGGACGACGUCAAGUCAUCAUGGCCCUUAUGCCCAGGGCGACACACGUGCUACAAUGGCAUAUACAAUGAGACGCAAUACCGCGAGGUGGAGCAAAUCUAUAAAAUAUGUCCCAGUUCGGAUUGUUCUCUGCAACUCGAGAGCAUGAAGCCGGAAUCGCUAGUAAUCGUAGAUCAGCCAUGCUACGGUGAAUACGUUCCCGGGUCUUGUACUCACCGCCCGUCACACCAUGGGAGUUGAUUUCACUCGAAGCCGGAAUACUAAACUAGUUACCGUCCACAGUGGAAUCAGCGACUGGGGUGAAGUCGUAACAAGGUAACCGUAGGAGAACCUGCGGUUGGAUCACCUCCUUU